Molecule: ribosomal RNA, 301 nt
Filed under: uncultured bacterium
Lineage: Bacteria
Description: partial 16S ribosomal RNA
Rfam family: Bacterial small subunit ribosomal RNA
Source: RNAcentral
CAGUAGCCGCGGGAAUACGGAGGGAGCUAGCGUUAUUCGGAAUUACUGGGCGUAAAGGGUGCGUAGGCGGUUAGUUAAGUCUGUUGUGAAAUCCCCGGGCUCAACCUGGGAAUGGCAAUGGAUACUGGCAAGCUAGAGUGUGUCAGAGGAUGGUGGAAUUCCCGGUGUAGCGGUGAAAUGCGUAGAGAUCGGGAGGAACAUCAGUGGCGAAGGCGGCCAUCUGGGACAACACUGACGCUGAGGCACGAAAGCGUGGGGAGCAAACAGGAUUAGAUACCCGCGUAGUCCCUGUCUCUUAUAC